UUUGAGGUUUGGGUAACAUUUUCGGUUUUUGUUUCAGCUUCUCCAAGAUUAAAGCUUUUUGUAUUCGUCGUGUUCUUCUUCACAACACAUUAAAGUUUCAUGAUAUUUUGUUUCAGUAAAAACUUUGACACUCAUUCUUUCAAAUUUGUAAAUCAUGAUUCUUGCGGAUGUUUAUUUGUGUUGUUCUUGGUUUCACAGGCAAGUGAUGUUGAUAGAUCUAAAGGAAAAGUUGUUGAUUUCUUGUCGAUUUUUCUUCACCGUGUUUCUAGAGAUCCUGAGGCUUAUUAUGUUCUGUGUCUCUAUACUCAGUACUACAAACAAGCACAAUUAGAAACCAUGGUUAGUGAAAAAGCUGCCAUAGAAUUUCAGUUGGAGAAGGAAAUUAAGCGAAUUAAGGAAGUAUAGGUAUGUGUUUUGGCUUCUGUGGCUACUUCAUUAUUAAUUUUGUCUUGGCUAGGUUUUGACACCAUUUUCAUGUUGAACAGGCAGAGAUCGAAAGAAGUAGAGUUACUUGCCGAGCAUCAUUUUUUUUACUGCUUAUCACUCUUCCAAAUCAUUUUUCUGUUGUUUAUUAGUUGAUUUCUUACAAAUAUCGCUUUUUCAGUUGUUGCACUGAACCUGCUCAUUUAGUUAGCCAACUAACCUUUUUAUCACCAGCUACUUGAGAAUUUUAUCACCAGAUGGCCAUCACCAUUCUCUGUGGUGUUAUGAAUAGCUAAGUUGAUUUCUCUGUCCAUAAUUCAUAAGCCAAUUUUUAUUUUUUAAGCACUUACUCCUACUUAACUUCUGACAGUAAGUUUGUUUACUGCUCAUAUUUUUCUUAAGGUAUUUACUAUAUAUUCAAGUUAAUUGCAGAACCAAAUCAUAGUCUUUCACUUUCCCAUUUUCAGCCUACCAUGUCUGCUUCCCAUUUUCAGCCUACCCUUGUUAGAGGUUAUCCCAAGAACAUUCAAUUGAGGAGCUAGGAAUGACCAAAAAGUGUGAAGCAUGCCAAGAUGGAAUGACCCCCCACCUUCAUCUUGACUUAUUUUGGAAAAAAACGUUUGCUGCUCUAAAUCUUUCUGUGCAACACUGUUAAGCUAGAACACGAAAACAGCCAGCACACGAAAGCCAUUCUGGUUGACAGCUUUUUCAAAUGCCCCUUCUCUUUAUCUUUUCUUUUAAGCAAUGGGUAAAACACACUUGAGCUAUGUCAGCUUCAUCUUGGUACACGGAUAAAUAAUGGAUUCACUAUUUCAGAGCUGGUAUAUUUGUACUUCUUUAACUUUUUUUGGGUACACCAAAUUUAUCAAGGGUGAUCCUUCAAUUUAAGAU
Long non-coding RNA from Vicia villosa (hairy vetch), 1314 nucleotides. RefSeq lists it as uncharacterized. Lineage: Eukaryota; Viridiplantae; Streptophyta; Magnoliopsida; Fabales; Fabaceae. The record is from RefSeq and is a predicted model, not a curated record. The transcript is spliced from 3 exons.